This 148-nucleotide non-coding RNA is filed under the name Chlorocebus sabaeus (green monkey). Lineage: Eukaryota; Metazoa; Chordata; Mammalia; Primates; Cercopithecidae. The record is from Rfam by way of RNAcentral.
GCUGGGCGUGGUGGCACACGCCUGUAAUCCCAGCUACUAGGGAGGCUGAGGGAGGAGAAUCGCUCGAAUCUGGGAAGUGGAGGUCACAGUGAGCCAAGAUUGUGUCACUGCACUCCAGCCUGGAUGACAGAGCGAGACUCCCUCUCAA